GAUGAACGCUGACGGCGUGCUUAACACAUGCAAGUCGAACGAUGAAGCCCAGCUUGCCGGGUGGAUUAGUGGCGAACGGGUGAGUAACACGUGAGUAACCUGCCCUUAACUCUGGGAUAAGCCUGGGAAACUGGGUCUAAUACCGGAUAGGAGCGUCCACCGCAUGGUGGGUGUUGGAAAGAUUUAUCGGUUUUGGAUGGACUCGCGGCCUAUCAGCUUGUUGGUGAGGUAAUGGCUCACCAAGGCGACGACGGGUAGCCGGCCUGAGAGGGUGACCGGCCACACUGGGACUGAGACACGGCCCAGACUCCUACGGGAGGCAGCAGUGGGGAAUAUUGCACAAUGGGCGCAAGCCUGAUGCAGCGACGCCGCGUGAGGGAUGACGGCCUUCGGGUUGUAAACCUCUUUCAGUAGGGAAGAAGCGAAAGUGACGGUACCUGCAGAAGAAGCACCGGCUAACUACGUG
RNAcentral lists this ribosomal RNA (466 nucleotides) under uncultured bacterium. RNAcentral describes it as "partial 16S ribosomal RNA". It matches the Rfam family "Bacterial small subunit ribosomal RNA", at positions 28 to 507 of the family's 1533-position model. The record is from RNAcentral.